Molecule: long non-coding RNA, 2694 nt
Filed under: Acanthaster planci (crown-of-thorns starfish)
Lineage: Eukaryota; Metazoa; Echinodermata; Asteroidea; Valvatida; Acanthasteridae
Description: uncharacterized LOC110980731
Source: RNAcentral
UAUCGUGAUCACCCAGGACGGCACGAGGUACAUCGGGGAAUAAGUCCUUGUCACCUUCAGCCUCGGAGUUCUGCAGCACAACUUGGUCCAGUUCAUCCCGCCCCUGCCUAAAUGGAAGGACGUGGAGAUCAAGAAAUUCCAGAUGGUUGACCACACUCUAGUCUAUAUUUGCUUUCCACAGAAGUUUUGGGACGACUCCGAAUGGAUCCUGCACACCAGCGAUAGGAGAGGGUACUACCCAAUGUUCUUUAACUUCCAGGCUGAGGGUUUAUUUCCCAACGGCACACCACUUUUACUCGCUUUGAUCACUGGUGACGAAGCACGGCGUGUGGAAGCUCAGUCCCCUACCGAUACCAAGGCAGAGAUCUAGGCAGUUCUUCGUGGCAUGUACGGCGGCGCCAUCCCGGACGCCACUGGCAUCCUUGUCACCGACUGGAACCAGAACCCCCUGACCAAAGGUGCCUACUCCAACUUCCCCGUCGAGGUCACCACCGAGUGCUUCCAGAAACUCCAGAGCCGAGUACAUCGCGUCUUCUUUGGGGGUGAGGUCACGUCCUACGACUACUUCGGCACCAUAGACGGGGCUCUGCGAUCCGGCGAGCGUGAAGCGAUGAAGAUGAUAGACUGCAUGUCCAACUUCAGCGAGUGUCCCAUCUCUGGAAUUGACGGGCUAGAAUGCGAGGACUCUGGUGGAAAUUCUGCAUACGCCUCGCGUUCGAGUACAUUUCUCGCCGGGAUGGCACUUGGCCUGUUUCUUAUUAAAACAUUUCUUGCUGACUAGAAGAUCGGAUUUCAGUCUCAAAUUGAAUUCAACUUCACUUCUUUCCCUGAAUUUCAUUCCAUUGUAUUUGAGUAGCGCUUACAAUGAUCAGAAUUAAAGCCAAAAUCCUUGGUUUAACCCUUCCAUUUCGGCUCCAGGUCGACAGAUGCCAUAAAAUGUUUCUGAACCAUGCAAUCAAUACUUCGUACCAUUUUAUUCUGCUUACAUUUUAUUCCAUUAGUUUUCUUGACGUGCUUGUGCGUGGCAGCCAUUUUCAAGUCAGUGCUUUUGUUACUGAGGGAUACCCGAGCGGUCUGCUCAUGUGUAUCCCUGUGGAACAAAAAACAAACAAAACAACUCCCCCUCAUCCAAAAAAAAACAAUAACUAAAACAAAUUAGGGGUAGUAAUUGUUACAGCAACGACGACAGAGCUGUUUUUUAUUUCAAGUUGUUUAAUGGGGAAAAAUGAAAUAAAAAUCAAUAUAAACAAAAUCACAAGAUGACGUCAUGAUAACGUCAGAAAUCUGGAAUAGUUAUUGUAUCAGGGUCUUUGUUGGCUUAACUUUGAUAACGACCAAAGAUCUCAAAGUUACCAAAAUGGGGCUUGAAAACAUGAACAAAGUCGAUGACCUGAAAUACAUAUCGAAAAUCAAUAAUAAAUCAGACGAUGACGUCAUCAUGACGUCAUCCAUUUGGAAUAAUUCUUUUAUCAGGGCUUUUGUUGGCUUUCACUUUGAAAGCGAUCAAACAUCGCAUAGGUUAUAACUCUAAUGUUGGCUUGAAAACAUGUUCAAAAUCAAUGAGCUGAAAAACUCAUGCAGAAAACUGCUCUUUUCUGCUCUUGUCACGUGAUUUGCGUUUAAACUGAAAGAAUGUUAUGAACUAUUACUUGAUAUUUUUGACUCUUAAGUAUCUUUCAAAUCGAAUGACCCACCAUAAUAUAUACGAUUUCGCUUUCGUUUUCAUAGUUAUCUUGAGCCGAAAUUGGGGACUACUUUUAGUGAGUAGUAGAAAAGCGUUCACAACUCUAUGGCAACAAGUUGAAUAUUCAAAAUUCAAAAUUAAAUCUCGUGAUAACGUCAUCAUGUUGUCAUUAUUUUAGUAUUUUGUUAGCCUUAGGGUAAUUACUUAGUGUAACUUUUAUGAAGAUCUAAGAUUACUUAGUGACGAAAAUGAUGCUUCGAAUCUGCAUACGAAGGCUAUUGGAAAAUUAGAAUGCCCAAUCCGGCGUAAACGUUUCUUUAAACAACCCAGUCAAUUAUGUUGACUGAAUUUCCUAGUUCAAAAUUGACUACGGAUUCAGUAAAACACCAAGUUUACGUUGGCAAAUCAGGCUUUCUGACAAGAUUCCUAUUCGAUGCCUUUAGAAAUAUCAAUGAACUGAGUGAAAAAAAUCUAGUCAGGUUGACAAAUUUCCAGUUGAACCCAGCAGACCUUAUUGAGCUAGUCAAAUUUUACUGAAUUCUAGUUAAUUUUGACGGAUCCUUUUAAGACUGUAAGAGGUCAACGUUUCAUAUGUAUUUGAUAUAUAGUCAAUGUUUACUAAUUAACACUUUAUUCGUAAUUCAAUAAUUAGUAGUCGAGUUUAUUUUAAUUUUGAUUGAAUUUCAUUCACAGCUAAACAACCGUCAAAGUGUUAUUAUUGCACGGUCAUUAGAAUGGUGUAUACUUUCAAAGAAAAAUGAGAAUAAAACUGCAUGUACUCAAAUGUAACAUUCAGAGGUUCUGUAUGACACUGCAAAACGAUUAUUCCCAUUUUUAAUAUUUAGAAAGAUCAUCGUCAUAUUUUCUCAGAAACAGCACCCACGAAAGUGCAAAUUUAACAAGAUAUAAUAUGAUAAGAGCAUUAUACAGAACUUGCCUCAACAAAAUUUGAUCACGUGUACAGUAAAAGUACUUCGAUGAAACUCCCAGCAUUUCGAUACUUGCAAGGA